This 468-nucleotide ribosomal RNA is filed under the name uncultured bacterium. RNAcentral's name for it is "partial 16S ribosomal RNA". It matches the Rfam family "Bacterial small subunit ribosomal RNA", at positions 28 to 507 of the family's 1533-position model. The record is from RNAcentral.
GACGAACGCUGGCGGCGUGCUUAACACAUGCAAGUCGAACGGAAAGGCCCUGCUUUUGUGGGGUGCUCGAGUGGCGAACGGGUGAGUAACACGGGAGUAACCUGCCCUUGACUUUGGGAUAACUUCAGGAAACUGGGGCUAAUACCGGAUAGGAGCUCCUGCUGCAUGGUGGGGGUUGGAAAGUUUCGGCGGUUGGGGAUGGACUCGCGGCUUAUUAGCUUGUUGGUGGGGUAGUGGCUUACCAAGGCUUUGACGGGUAGCCGGCCUGAGAGGGUGACCGGCCACCUUGGGACUGCGAUACGGCCCAGACUCCUACGGGAGGCAGCAGUGGGGAAUAUUGCACAAUGGGCGGAAGCCUGAUGCAGCAACGCCGCGUGCGGGAUGACGGCCUUCGGGUUGUAAACCGCUUUCGCCUGUGACGAAGCGUGAGUGACGGUAAUGGGUAAAGAAGCACCGGCUAACUACGUG